Molecule: long non-coding RNA, 241 nt
Filed under: Elaeis guineensis (African oil palm)
Lineage: Eukaryota; Viridiplantae; Streptophyta; Magnoliopsida; Arecales; Arecaceae
Description: long non-coding RNA (EGUI_LNC063190)
Source: RNAcentral
CCACACCACAUCCUCCUUGGUGUCCUUCUCAUUCUCAAAGGAGUCUGAGAGAUCUGAAUAAGGAGUACAUCAGCCAUCAAAGAAGGUCUUGGCAUGAGCUAGCACUCUCGAAAAGGCCGAUUUGAUUGGAGCUUCGAGUGGAUGUUCCGUAGAGGUCGGACAUCCUAUGUGGCUGUGAGGGACUAGGAUGAAUCCUUUACCAUGAUUUCUCAACAGUGGCGAUCAUUGAUCUAUGCUCAGG